CCUACGGGAGGCAGCAGUGGGGAAUAUUGGGCAAUGGGCGCAAGCCUGACCCAGCAACGCCGCGUGAAGGAAGAAGGCUUUCGGGUUUUAAACUUCUUUUCUCAGGGACGAAGCAAGUGACGGUACCUGAGGAAUAAGCCACGGCUAACUACGUGCCAGCAGCCGCGGUAAUACGGAGGUGGCAAGCGUUAUCCGGAUUUACUGGGUGUACAGGGUGUGUAGGCGGGACUGCAAGUCAGAUGUGAAAACCAUGGGCUCAACCUAUGGCCUGCAUUUGAGACUGUAGUUCUUGAGUACUGGAGAGGCAGACGGAAUGCCUAGUGUAGCGGUGAAAUGCGUAGAUAUUAGGAAGAACACCAAUUGCGAAGGCAGUUUGCGGGACAGCAACUGACGCUGAGGCGCGAAAGCGUGGGGAGCAAACAGGAUUAGAUACCCGUGUAGUC
RNAcentral lists this ribosomal RNA (443 nucleotides) under uncultured bacterium. RNAcentral describes it as "partial 16S ribosomal RNA". It matches the Rfam family "Bacterial small subunit ribosomal RNA", at positions 338 to 795 of the family's 1533-position model. The record is from RNAcentral.